RNAcentral lists this ribosomal RNA (327 nucleotides) under uncultured Glomus. Its description in RNAcentral is "SSU rRNA". It matches the Rfam family "Eukaryotic small subunit ribosomal RNA", at positions 569 to 906 of the family's 1831-position model. The record is from RNAcentral. Lineage: Eukaryota; Fungi; Glomeromycota; Glomeromycetes; Glomerales; Glomeraceae.
AGCAGCCGCGGUAAUUCCAGCUCCAAUAGCGUAUAUUAAAGUUGUUGCAGUUAAAAAGCUCGUAGUUGAAUUUCGGGGUCAGUAGGUUGGUCGUGCCACUGGUAUGUACUGGCUUCACUGAUUCCUCCUUCUUGAAGAACUGUAAUGUCAUUAAUUUGGUGUUGCAGGGAAACAGGACUGUUACUUUGAAAAAUUGAGUGUUUAAAGCAGGCUUACGCUUGAAUACAUUAGCAUGGAAUAAUGAAAUAGGACGUUGAUCCUAUUUUGUGGUUUCUAGGUUGACGUAAUGAUUAAUAGGGAUAGUUGGGGCAUUAGUAUUCAAUUGCC